Molecule: ribosomal RNA, 902 nt
Filed under: Staphylotrichum coccosporum
Lineage: Eukaryota; Fungi; Ascomycota; Sordariomycetes; Sordariales; Chaetomiaceae
Description: LSU rRNA
Rfam family: Eukaryotic large subunit ribosomal RNA
Source: RNAcentral
AUUAAGCAUAUCAAUAAGCGGAGGAAAAGAAACCAACAGGGAUUGCCCUAGUAACGGCGAGUGAAGCGGCAACAGCUCAAAUUUGAAAUCUGGCCUCGGCCCGAGUUGUAAUUUGCAGAGGAAGCUUUGGGCGCGGCACCGACCGAGUCCCCUGGAACGGGGCGCCAUAGAGGGUGAGAGCCCCGUAUGGUCGGACGCCUAGCCUGUGUAAAGCUCCUUCGACGAGUCGAGUAGUUUGGGAAUGCUGCUCAAAAUGGGAGGUAAAUUUCUUCUAAAGCUAAAUACCGGCCAGAGACCGAUAGCGCACAAGUAGAGUGAUCGAAAGAUGAAAAGCACUUUGAAAAGAGGGUUAAAUAGCACGUGAAAUUGUUGAAAGGGAAGCGCUUGUGACCAGACUUGCGCCCGGCUGAUCAUCCGGUGUUCUCACCGGUGCACUCUGCCGGGCUCAGGCCAGCAUCGGUUCUCGCGGGGGGACAAAGGCCCUGGGAACGUAGCUCCUCCGGGAGUGUUAUAGCCCUGGGUGCAAUGCCCUCGCGGGGACCGAGGUUCGCGCAUCUGCAAGGAUGCUGGCGUAAUGGUCACCAGCGACCCGUCUUGAAACACGGACCAAGGAGUCAAGGUUUUGCGCGAGUGUUUGGGUGUAAAACCCGCACGCGUAAUGAAAGUGAACGUAGGUGAGAGCUUCGGCGCAUCAUCGACCGAUCCUGAUGUUUUCGGAUGGAUUUGAGUAGGAGCGUUAAGCCUUGGACCCGAAAGAUGGUGAACUAUGCUUGGAUAGGGUGAAGCCAGAGGAAACUCUGGUGGAGGCUCGCAGCGGUUCUGACGUGCAAAUCGAUCGUCAAAUCUGAGCAUGGGGGGCGAAAGACUAAUCGAACCAUCUAGUAGCUGGUUACCGCCGAAGU